UCCCCAGUGGCUCAGUGGUAGAGAAUCUGCCUGCAAUGCAGGAGACCCAGGUUUGAUCCCUGGGUGGGGAA
Molecule: non-coding RNA, 71 nt
Organism: Bubalus bubalis (water buffalo)
Lineage: Eukaryota; Metazoa; Chordata; Mammalia; Artiodactyla; Bovidae
Source: the annotation of a RefSeq genome assembly